RNAcentral lists this ribosomal RNA (434 nucleotides) under uncultured bacterium. RNAcentral describes it as "partial 16S ribosomal RNA". It matches the Rfam family "Bacterial small subunit ribosomal RNA", at positions 29 to 507 of the family's 1533-position model. The record is from RNAcentral.
AGCGAACGCUGGCGGCAGGCCUAACACAUGCAAGUCGAACGAACCUUUCGGGGUUAGUGGCGGACGGGUGAGUAACACGUGGGAACGUGCCUUUAGGUUCGGAAUAACUCAGGGAAACUUGUGCUAAUACCGAAUGUGCCCUUCGGGGGAAAGAUUUAUCGCCUUUAGAGCGGCCCGCGUCUGAUUAGCUAGUUGGUUGAGGUAAUGGCUCACCAAGGCGACGAUCAGUAGCUGGUCUGAGAGGAUGAUCAGCCACAUUGGGACUGAGACACGGCCCAAACUCCUACGGGAGGCAGCAGUGGGGAAUCUUGCGGAAGGGGCGAAAGACUGACGCAGCCAUGCCGGGUGAAUGAUGAAGGUCUUAGGAUUGUAAAAUUCUUUCACCGGGGACGAUAAUGACGGUACCCGGAGAAGAAGCCCCGGCUAACUUCGUG